AACGAACGCUGGCGGCAUGCCUAACACAUGCAAGUCGAACGAGACCUUCGGGUCUAGUGGCGCACGGGUGCGUAACGCGUGGGAACCUGCCCUUAGGUUCGGAAUAACUCCCCGAAAGGGGUGCUAAUACCGGAUAAUGUCUUCGGACCAAAGAUUUAUCGCCCUUGGAUGGGCCCGCGUUGGAUUAGCUUGUUGGUAGGGUAAAAGCCUACCAAGGCGACGAUCCAUAGCUGGUCUGAGAGGAUGGUCAGCCACACUGGGACUGAGACACGGCCCAGACUCCUACGGGAGGCAGCAGUGGGGAAUAUUGGAAAAUGGGCGAAAGCCUGAUCCAGCAAUGCCGCGUGAGUGAUGAAGGCCUUAGGGUUGUAAAGCUCUUUUACCCGGGAUGAUAAUGACAGUACCGGGAGAAUAAGCUCCGGCUAACUCCGUG
Molecule: ribosomal RNA, 433 nt
Filed under: uncultured bacterium
Lineage: Bacteria
Description: partial 16S ribosomal RNA
Rfam family: Bacterial small subunit ribosomal RNA
Source: RNAcentral